UACAUACUCCCUCCGUCCAAAAAGACUUGUCAUCAAAAUGGAUAAAAAGAGAUGUAUCUAGAACUAAAAUACAUCUAGAUACAUUCUUUUUUAUCCAUUUUGAUGACAAGUAUUUCCGGAUGGAGGGAGUACUAU
This is a non-coding RNA of Triticum aestivum (bread wheat), 135 nucleotides long. Lineage: Eukaryota; Viridiplantae; Streptophyta; Magnoliopsida; Poales; Poaceae. The record is from Rfam.